Molecule: ribosomal RNA, 440 nt
Filed under: uncultured bacterium
Lineage: Bacteria
Description: partial 16S ribosomal RNA
Rfam family: Bacterial small subunit ribosomal RNA
Source: RNAcentral
CCUACGGGAGGCAGCAGUGGGGAAUAUUGGACAAUGGGGGGAACCCUGAUCCAGCGACGCCGCGUGAGUGAAGAAGUACUUCGGUAUGUAAAGCUCUAUCAGCAGGGAAGAAAAUGACGGUACCUGACUAAGAAUCCCCGGCUAACUACGUGCCAGCAGCCGCGGUCAUACGGAGGGGGCAAGCGUUAUCCGGAUUUACUGGGUGUAACGGGAGCGUAGACGGUGUAGCAAGUCUGGAGUGAAAGGUCGGGGGCCAACCCCGGGACUGCAUUGGAAACUGGUGAACUGGAGUGCGGGAGAGGUAAGCGGAAUUCCUGGUGGAGCGGUGAAAUGCGUAGAUAUUAGGAGGAACACCAGUGGCGAAGGCGACUUACUGGACUGUAACUGACGUUGAGGCUCGAAAGCGUGGGGAGCAAACAGGAUUAGAUACCCUUGUAGUC